Molecule: ribosomal RNA, 711 nt
Filed under: uncultured bacterium
Lineage: Bacteria
Description: bacterial SSU rRNA
Rfam family: Bacterial small subunit ribosomal RNA
Source: RNAcentral
AUUAGUUUGAUCCUGGCUCAGGAUGAACGCUGGCUGUAUGCCUAACACAUGCAAGUCGUACGAAAGUUUUUAACUUUAGUGGCGGACGGGUGAGUAACACGUGAGAAUUUGCCUUUAGGAGGGGGACAACAAUUGGAAACGAAUGCUAAUACCCCAUAUGCUUUCGAGUGAAAUGGAUUUAUAUUUAUCCGCCUAGAGAGAAGCUCGCGGCUGAUUAGCUUGUUGGUAAGGUAAGAGCUUACCAAGGCGACGAUCAGUAUCUGGUUUGAGAGGACGACCAGACACACUGGAACUGAGACACGGUCCAGACUCCUACGGGAGGCAGCAGUGGGGAAUAUUGCGCAAUGGGGGAAACCCUGACGCAGCCAUGCCGCGUGUGUGAAGAAGGCCUUAGGGUUGUAAAGCACUUUCAGCGGGGAGGAAAAGUUGGUCGUUAAUAGCGGCCAGCCGUGACGUUACCCGCAGAAGAAGCACCGGCUAAUUCAGUGCCAGCAGCCGCGGUAAUACUGAAGGUGCAAGCGUUAAUCGGAAUUACUGGGCGUAAAGCGCGCGUAGGCGGCUUGUUAAGUCGGAUGUGAAAGCCCUGGGCUCAACCCGGGAACUGCAUACGAUACUGGCAAGCUAGAGUAUGGGAGAGGGCUGUGGAAUUUCUAGUGUAGCGGUGAAAUGCGUAGAUAUUAGAAGGAACAUCAGUGGCGAAGGCGGCAGCCU